RNAcentral lists this long non-coding RNA (1093 nucleotides) under Homo sapiens (human). Its description in RNAcentral is "non-protein coding LINC01750:14". The record is from RNAcentral. Lineage: Eukaryota; Metazoa; Chordata; Mammalia; Primates; Hominidae.
AGGAAUCCUAGGGUGUGCCUGGAGGUGGCGGAGUGUACCGACGCGGGUGUGAGCGCGUGUGCCAGCGAGGGUGGGCACGGGGGUGAGCGUGGCAAGGGCAGCAGCACCUGCUUGAGACCAAGCCCGGCGACCUGGCAAGGUGGGGCCCCCUACCGCGCAAUCUUUGCGGCUGGCCCCCGGCUCUCAGCUCCGAGUGCAGAGGCUGAAGAGGUACCCGGGGGACACACUGCCUCUAACCCCACCUAUGAGCCGCUCUCCUCUCGGAGGACGAAGGCACCAUCAGAAGGUCGAGAUUCGCCCUCCUCUCCCGCCACGUCUACCCACUACCUAGACCGGGAGUCUGGACUUGGGAGCGUGAACUCUCACCCGAGCCGGUCCCCUUACAACUGGAGCCCGCCCAGCCCCUCAGUCCCUCCCUGAAGCCCAUGGGUCCCCACUGCUCCGUGCCUCGUCGACCCAGGAUGGGGAGUGGGAAGGUCAGCAUGUGCCCACAGGGCCAGGUGUCCGGCCCAGAUUCCCACCCUCAGGGCGGCGGCGCGCAAAGGGCGCAGUCCCCGCCGCUGGGCGGACCCGCGGCUCCGGCUUUCCCGGUGUCUCCAGCCUCGGUGCCCGGAAUCCUGGAUCUCGGCCUGGCGCUCCGGAAGCGAGGCAGCUCCGUGCCCCAGCAGGGACGGGGAACGCUUGGCUUGAGAGAUCACAUUUCUGGGUGUGGAGAGAAUGUCAAUCACAUAUCCAGAAUAUCACCUCCUUGGGCACAGCCAGGGCAUGGUCCAUUGAAAAUGUUCCUGAUUGCUGGAAGCUGACGGCUCACCAUAAAAGCCAAAAUGGGGACCUGUCAAAAAUGUUUUAGCCAAACUAUGGCUUGGCUCAGGAAGAUGCCAAGACCAAAGGCUGCUGAACUUUAAGUAUAAACUUGCAUGAAAAGCACAUUGCAGGUCUGAGACAGUGGAGGCUUAGUGGUGAGAACAUGAGCUCUGGAUAGACCUGGCUUCAAGUCUUGGCUCUGUCAUUCACCAGCUGUGUGAAUUUGGGCAAACCACUUUUCUUCUCUGAUGCUCAGUUCCCUCACCUAGCAAAAUGGGUUAUAAUGAUG